AGAAACGCCCCUGGUUUAACUACAAUCAAUAAUAAAACCCAGCGAAUUGCACACCUUACAAACGCAGCCAGCGCGGCCACGAGAAGAGAGUGAGACAGAGAGAGAGAGAGAGAGAGAGAGAGAGAGAUUGCGCCUUCAGGCUUCUCCACGUGAUCUUCAGCAAACUGCAGAGGGCCAGAAAUGUUCUUUUUGGAGUGCAAUGACUUUCCCCUUCUCGCACUCACCGAUAUGUAAUAUUGGAUCAUUUUCCUCAAUAAAUAAAUGACCAAGUGUAAUA
Molecule: long non-coding RNA, 277 nt
Organism: Ictalurus punctatus (channel catfish)
Lineage: Eukaryota; Metazoa; Chordata; Actinopteri; Siluriformes; Ictaluridae
Exons: 2
Source: RefSeq, a predicted model, not a curated record